AGGAGAAAGGUGAUCUGAUUUCUCAGCCAAGCCAUGACAGCUUGCAUUCAGGAGAAGAGGCUGGGAGACUGAUUUUUAACAGGGACCCAGUGGCACCAUCUCCAGUCCAGCCCUGACUCAAGCUACCGAUCAGCCUGGACUGAGUCAGGAAGAAACUCUCAUGCCAGAUUUCUUGCAUGCAAGCUAUUAAGUUCAUGUAUUAUAGGAAAUUAAGGUUUUCCAUGGGAUUAUAAAGCUAUGGCUUUGCCUCCUCCCUCAAGACUGCAUCUCAGCUUACACUGCAGCUUUUAUGAAACUUUAAUUACUUUGCAAGUAGUCUUUCUAGUUCUGAUCACUCUUAAAAAUGUAAACAAGCAAGAGUGUCAUCUGUUGAAACAAAAGUCAAUCAGCCAGCCUUUGCUUCUCAGCUUUUGCUACCCAAUCUGUUAUGCCUGUCACAACAAGUUGUCAGACUGUCACAAUAAAUGGCACAAGUUUAGGAUGUUGUUUUGUUUAGCUUUUGUAUGAAAUACUUUUGAGCACAUUUUAGUAGAGGGGUAUAAUUAAAGUAAAGCAAAUGAAUUCUGAAAGAGGGUAAUAAGUUACAGGUAGUUUAAAAUUGUUAUAAUAGUAUUUUCUCCUUAGUUUUUGGUUACUUGGAAGGACUGUAAAUUGUCACAGGUGGUUCCAGUUGGGAAUACUGAGGAAAUAAAUAUUGAUUAGAAACUUAGUUCUUGAAAGCCAGCAAACUAAGAAUGUGAAGAUUUCACUUACUUACUCAAAUUACUAAAUUGAUAAUUACUGCUCUUAUGCAAGUUAAGAUAGUGCAGUCUGCCAAAUACUCACCCCAUUAGAGGAAGAAAAUCUGUUGUGUUUCAAGAAAUAAAAAUACCUAACCAUAUUUAAAAAUUAGUAUAUUUUCCAUUAAGUGUUGCUCUUCUGUCUGAUUUCCACAGAAGUCUACCAUUUUUCUUUCCCUUCUUUUUGACAUCCUGAAGUAGUCUUGGAGCAGAGAUGUAAUUUUGAUUUGACUUCUCACUACUCUUACACUGAUGUGUCUGUGGCCCUUUAUAAGGGCCCUCUGUGUCACCUGACUCUACUGCCAUCCCUUGUGCAUUUUGACAUCACUCAGCACUGUCAGAAUCAAACCCUUAUAAAGCCAUACUGUUCAAAUCCACCUUCAUCUCCCAAACCAUCACCAUCAGCUGCACAGGCCACUUGUCAUUCAGAUCUAUGACCUUGAAUUGCAGAAUUGCUGUGAUUUGUGGGCAUCUCUGAGAUCACCUAAAUGAUCCAUCAAAGUGCAGUCUGAUGGAGCACGUUGCCCAGGACCAUGACCAGUCAGGAUUUUCAAAUCUCCAGGAAUGAAGUCUUCAGAACCUGUCUGAGCUCAACUGCUUGACAACCCUCGCAGCAGAAGUGGAGGGUUUUUUAAUGUUUAAAUGGUAUU
Empidonax traillii (willow flycatcher) is the source of this 1429-nucleotide long non-coding RNA. RefSeq lists it as uncharacterized. The record is from RefSeq and is a predicted model, not a curated record. NCBI's taxonomy places the organism in Eukaryota, Metazoa, Chordata, Aves, Passeriformes, Tyrannidae. The transcript is spliced from 2 exons.